GCAGUGUUUAAUAAUACAUCAGACACCACAUCAGUGAUAAUAUGCAUCCAGACCCAAAACCUUUUUAUUCCCUUUCCAAAGCUUCAAAAGCAAAAAUUUGGACAUUAAUAUAAAGCUGAGUAACAUGACAUUAGUAAACACACGCUGCAGUGUCAAUAAUAUACAUUACCAUAACAUAUCAUAACAUAGCUCAGGUGUGAGAGAGCCAGCUUCCCAUGCAGACAUACUGCUCACAGAAUCAUACCUGCAGUCUAAACCAACACCUCAUUAGCUGUAAUUAACCAAUAUCUCCUACAGCUCCAUAAUUUGGGGGGAUUUUCAUUUAUUUUUUAUUUUUUUGCAAAGGAGAUUGAAAACCUGCAUUUUAAAAUAAACAAUGCACUUUCUUACACCGACAGUUGUAAAACUGUUUUGAGCAGGUAGCUGCAUGUAAUUUAUUUUACAGAUUUAUUUCUUAGAGUGUGUAAUGUAAAUUAUGAACAAAUACGGGAAAAAACUGUUGAAGAGAAGAAUAAAAGAAGGCUACAUGAGUUAACCACUAUAUAUCUACUUUAAACACAGGUCUGCAACUCUGAAAACUUCCCCGUCCUUAAAUCUUGGCACAAUUUUUUAUUUUACAAAUCAGAAACCACAGACCAAAGACUGUAGUCAUUGCUGGACCUCAAAUCAUAUGGAGAAAACCAAUCUUCUGAGAUUUGUGUCUUGUAUACAAAUCAAGGUAUCUCAUCUCUUUACCACAAAGGUAAGUCCUUGGCAUCUUUCAGCUGAGUUGUAAGAAGGUCGAUGUCUGCCUGUUUCACUGGAAAGGUUGCCAGCUGUUCAAUCUUCUGUACUUCUGUGGGGAUGAAGGCGACCAGGUCACUGUAGCCUUUGAGAAAUGCAUCACCAGCUGUAAGGAAUUCUCUCAUGUCUUCUCCAGUCGGGAUAUUGAACUGAACUUCUCCAUCCAAC
Molecule: long non-coding RNA, 951 nt
Organism: Amphiprion ocellaris (clown anemonefish)
Lineage: Eukaryota; Metazoa; Chordata; Actinopteri; Pomacentridae
Source: Ensembl